UACGUAGGGUGCAAGCGUUGUCCGGAUUUAUUGGGCGUAAAGAGCUCGUAGGCGGUCUGUCGCGUCGGAUGUGAAAACCUGUGGCUUAACCACGGGCCUGCAUUCGAUACGGGCAGACUAGAGUUUGGUAGGGGAGAUUGGAACUCCUGGUGUAGCGGUGAAAUGCGCAGAUAUCAGGAAGAACACCGGUGGCGAAGGCGGAUCUCUGGGCCAAUACUGACGCUGAGGAGCGAAAGCGUGGGGAGCAAACAGG
This 253-nucleotide ribosomal RNA is filed under the name uncultured bacterium. Its description in RNAcentral is "partial 16S ribosomal RNA". It matches the Rfam family "Bacterial small subunit ribosomal RNA", at positions 524 to 776 of the family's 1533-position model. The record is from RNAcentral.